CCUGAGAAACCCGAAAGAUCGAAAGGGGAGAUUCACCGUCAGCGACGUCGGCUUCUCGUCGGCUCGUCGCGCGCUCCCGCGGCCAUCCCUCGCCGGAUGCGUCGCGUGUCGUAGUCGCGCGGCGUCCUUCGCGCGCGCGCGCCCUCGAGCGCGCGCGUCCAUGCCCGACGGCGUAGGCGUGCACUUCUCCCCUAGUAGAACGUCGCGACCCGCUGAGCGCCGGUCUACGGCCCGGUGCGUCGCCUGUCCCGCCGUCCCUGGUGGCGUCGCGGGGCAGACGCCCGGUGCACCGUCCCGACCGGCUGCCCGGCGGUAUCACUCGCAAGGUACUCUGGCCGCAAGUGCGCGCGUUCGCGCGCGCACCGUGCGUCCCUCGAAAAAGGCUCGCCGCAAGCGCGGUCAGUGUUAACGCAAACCCGUGUCUGUACGGACGAACUACGCCGUCGCCGGGGCUGACCCGCUGUUCGCCGCGCGAUGUCCUCGGACAGGCAUGUGUAGUACCGGUCGGCGACGCUAUUGCUUCGGGUACUUUCAGG
This 536-nucleotide ribosomal RNA is filed under the name Evaniella sp. 206. Its description in RNAcentral is "eukaryotic LSU rRNA". The record is from RNAcentral. Lineage: Eukaryota; Metazoa; Arthropoda; Insecta; Hymenoptera; Evaniidae.